CAGAGUUACCCGACUCUCCAAACCAACUGCGAACCCUACCUUACCGUUGCUUCGGCGGGCGGCGCCCCGCGCCCCUGGCCCCACCGAGGGCGCCCGCCGGAGGAAUACCCAAACCCUUUGACAGCACAUGGCCUCUCUGAGUCUUACUGAAUAAGUCA
RNAcentral lists this unclassified non-coding RNA (158 nucleotides) under uncultured Ascomycota. RNAcentral describes it as "sequence contains ITS1". Lineage: Eukaryota; Fungi; Ascomycota. The record is from RNAcentral.